Non-coding RNA from Camellia sinensis, 3854 nucleotides. NCBI's taxonomy places the organism in Eukaryota, Viridiplantae, Streptophyta, Magnoliopsida, Ericales, Theaceae. The record is from RefSeq and is a predicted model, not a curated record.
UAAUAAUCAAAAGCCCCAACUCUCAGUCCUAACACACAAAAUCAACCCUGAGUUGGUCUCAAAACUAUUCAAUUGCAAGUCAGUACCAACUUUGGCUUUAACCUUCAACCCAACCUUCAAAACCCACCACGAAUCUCCACUUUCUUCAUCAUUAUCUUCGUCGUCGAUACUGGUUCCCAAGCUCAAUCUCUCCUAAAUCGGCUUCUUCCUAUCCUCUCGUGAUUCCUAGCUUCACGUCCUCAAACAGAUCACCGAGGUCAAUCUCAAAUAUCCUCUCAAAUCAGAUUUCAUCAAACUCGUCUUCACCUUCGAAAAAUUCCAAACCUCCAAUUUUUACUUCUCCAAAAUCAAUCUCACCAAGCCCAAUCUAUUAACUCUCCUCUUCGGGCAAUUGCAUCCCCGAUCUAGAAAUCUCCAUGAAUGCUCGAUCUGAAAUGCACAACAUCGACUCCAAAUCUAAUCACCAUGACUACUUGUCUGCUGGUUGAGAACUUGAAAGCUCUGCUUGAGGUCGAGAUUGUCAACUUGUUGUUAUUGCUUGUCUCUCUUUAGCUGCCAAAGUUGAGGAAACCCGAAUGCCCCUUUUCUUAGACUUCCAAGUAUGUGAUAUUAUAUUGUAUUGUUAAAUAUGCAAUGUGGGUGUUUGCAAAAAUGUCUCAUUGAAUGGAAGGAAAAUCAAAGGGUGGUUUUUUUUGUUUUUGAGGGGGGCGGGGGCGGGGGGAGGGCUUUAAUUUGUUCAAUUAAGGUUAUUUUUAGGCUAUAGGUGCCCUUUUUGAAGAAAUUGUCUUUUUCAUUGCUGUUUAUUUGUUGAAAAGGGAAAAGAAAAAAAAGUUUUCAAGAUUCAGGGUUCCAUGAACUUUGAUCAGUUGAAGUUAUGGGUGAAAUAGAAAAUUACUUUUAAAGUUUUGCUCUCAAUCUUUUGGCUUUGACUAUGGAAAUGUUAUAGACAUUAAAAUGUUGAUUUAGUUAUGUUUCACAUAUUGAGGAAUUUCUUCACUUGAUUUUGGAAGCUUGAAAAUUGUAAAAGUUUUGAUAAUUUUUAAUUUUUUUAUGAUGGAAAUUUUCCUAUUCGAAGUCUGAAUUGGCUAAACUUGGAAGAACUUGUCUUUUUUCAUUGUUGUUUGUUUGGUAAAAGAGGGGAAGGAAAGGAAAGUUUUCAAGAUUCACAUGGAAAAUUAGUAUUCCAUGUACUUUGCUUAGUUGAAGUUGGGUGAAAUAGAAAAUUGCUGUUAAAGUUUUGUUAUCAAUCUUCUGGUUUUGACUAUGGAGAAUAUUGUCGACAUUAAAAGGCUUUGCAUAUUUUUAGUUAUGUUUCAUAUAUGGAGGAAUUUCUUCACUUGAUUUUGGAAGCUUGAAAUUGUGAAGGUUCAGAUAAUUUUAAAUUUUUUUAUGAUGGAAAUUUUCCUAUUUGAAGUCUGAAUUGACUGAGCUUGGAAUGGGAUUAUGUGCCGACUGUUUUUGACAAUUUUAGUGCAAAUGUGGUUGUGGAUGAGAGCAUUGUUAAUUUAGGGCUUUGGGAUAUAGCAGGUAAGUUCAUAUUAGCUAGUGAUAUCUUCUUCUUCAACAAACUCUUCAUAAGUGUUGGAUUUGACUUGUUUGUUUCAUGGAACAGGUCAGGAGGAUUACAAUAGAUUAAGACCCCUAAGCAAUUGAGGGGUCGAUGUCUUUAUACUUGCAUUUUCUCUAAUUAGCAAGGCUAGAUAUGAAAAUAUAUCAAAAAAAAGGUUCUGUUUUCGAUGGUCAGUGGAUUCCUAAAUUGAGGCAUUAUGCUCCUGGAAUUCCAAUAGUUCUUGUGGGAACAAGGCUUGUUUAGAUUCUCUUUCCUAUCCUUUUCGUUUGUUCUAGUUAGUGAUACUAUUGGCUAUUUUCAGACAUUUGCAUCUAGAAUUCUGUCAUAAAUGUGAGAUUUCUUCUUUGAAAGUUUUCACCAGAAUUUCUUUGCGCCCAUGGUUGCAAACUUACUUAUAUUUAACAAUUUUUAACCCCAUUUCCAAGUUCUUUUGAAGCAUAUCUCGAUAAUUAGGCCAUUUUGACAUACAGAAGGGAAGUUUUUGCAGAAACGUCUUCAGUUUUGCAUCAUUUAUCCCCAAAUAUCCAUGAUCUAUCUCUCUUUUCUUCUUCUGUUUUUGGGGGAUUAAUAGGGAAGUAGUAGAAAGUUUCAGUUAUGAGCUUUUCACAAAGCUUUUCUUUUAUAGUUGAAAAGUGCUAAGCUGCCAUGUGAGCCUGAAUAAAAUUACUAGGUUCCUUCAAAAUUAAUAGCUUCUUGCAUAGUUACACUAUGUAGAUAUUCUGGAACUUUGCAAGAAAGGGUUAAUAUUCAUUGCUAUUGUGGCACUUCUCUAGCUAAUGAAAUACACGUUUGUAAUUUCUUUGAGCUUUGUGGAAUUGCUCGUGGAAUUUCAUGACCAGGGUCAACAAAUUUAGUAUUGUUUUUGGUAUUUCAUGUAGGCAGUGUUGAAUCCUAGAUAUGUACUACUACCGUCAUAAUUAUGCAGCAUUUAAUUUUAAUUGAAGCUUUCAUUUUGGCUACUAAGAUCCAUUUAGCUUCCUUGUAUAUUAUUUUUAAUAUCUCUAUAAACAGGAUAGACAUCAGUACUUAGAGGUGGAAACCUGAACCACUGGAUUUGAUUUUGCUAUUAAUAAGAGAAAAACAAUACAAGAUAGUUUUAGUUGCAAGUUCAGUCUGGUUUGGACCAAGUCAAUUGCCACCGAACCAUUUGAAUAGUUUCAAUUUGGCAAUGUUUGAUUUAUAGUUCUAUCAUGACAAAUUGGUCUUAGUUGUUGACAGCCUAAUUGGAUCACCAUGACAGAGUAAGUUAGUUGUUGGCAACCCCAUUAGAUCCCUAUAGGCAAUUGAAAAAUUGUUCUCAGAUUCUUGGAUCCAUGAGGUGGCUUAUGAGACCAGAAAAAGUUGAUGGCAUUUUUUGUAGACUAUUGGAAUAUAGUCUAUUUUUGUUUUGUUAGGUAGAGAUACUAAACCAAAUGAAAUUGAGUCUUGAAAUUCUCAUUUCAAGAUGUAGAGACUUCUUGAUGUUUCUUUUUCUGACCCAUGAUAAUAAUAUCAACUAUUGCUUCUCCAAUACCAAUAUUCUCUGUUCUUGGCGUCUUUAGAAGUAAUGCUUGUCUGCACUGACUUGGAAGGAAAUGUUUCAACUUGAACUGAGGUCUUUGCUAUUAUCAUGCUCUUUAUCAUGUUUAUUUUGUUAUGUUGUAUGUCAACAGAUUUGUACUUGUAAACUUGUAUACAGUAAUUAAGAGUAAGGUUUGGCUGGGUGUGAUGCCUAAGUUUGAGUCUCAUUAUUGCUGGGUGGAUUUUAGUCUGACUGCUGCGCCAUGCAACUUCCCGUAUUCUCCUAAAAAAAAAAAAAAACAUUUGUCUAUGGAUAUUGAGUUCUAUGUUAUGAUCAAUUUUGAACCUGUCAUUUUAGUUUUGCAAUUUUUUUUUAUAUGAAUGUUGUGCGUGAAGUGAACAGUCCUUUAGAGUGAAUGACCUUUUAUUUUGCCUCCUGUAGAUCUUCGGGAAGAUAAGCAGUUCUUUGUAGACCACCCUGGUGCUGUGCCCAUUACAACAGCUCAGGUGGAGGGAUCAAAGUUUGUGAUUGAAGCCAAGACAAUCUAGAAAAUGGAGCUUCUUAGCCCUGGGUGUUGGAAAGUAUGGGUUAACUAUGUCAAAGUCAAUGUGCCUUUUGUUUAGAACUUUUUGGACAAUUAGAAUUUAAGGAUAGUUCUUUUUGGAUGGUUUUGAAUUAAGGUUAGUUUUUGGAUGUUUGGAAUGUAUAUAUUGAUAAUUUUUUAAUGUUCAUAAUUUAUGGAUAUAGUUUAUUUUUUAUACUUGAAACAAUAUUUUGGUGAUU